RNAcentral lists this small RNA (290 nucleotides) under Comamonas aquatica DA1877. RNAcentral describes it as "5' ureB small RNA". It matches the Rfam family "5' ureB small RNA". Lineage: Bacteria; Pseudomonadati; Pseudomonadota; Betaproteobacteria; Burkholderiales; Comamonadaceae. The record is from Rfam by way of RNAcentral.
CUUCCUCGAUCUGCUGCGGGGCGAUGAAGUGGAUGUGGGUGUCGAUGCCACCGGCGGUGACGAUGUGGCCCUCGCAGCUGAUGAUUUCCGUGCCCGGGCCGAUGAUGAUGUCCACGCCCGGCUGGGUGUCGGGGUUGCCGGCCUUGCCGAUGGCCACGAUGCGGCCGCCUUUCAGGCCAAUGUCGGCCUUGACGAUGCCCCAGUGGUCCAGGAUCAGCGCGUUGGUCAGCACGGUAUCCACCGCGCCUUGCUCGCGCGUGCGCUGGCUUUGCGCCAUGCCGUCACGGAUG